Molecule: long non-coding RNA, 3398 nt
Filed under: Gallus gallus (chicken)
Lineage: Eukaryota; Metazoa; Chordata; Aves; Galliformes; Phasianidae
Description: lncRNA (ENSGALG00010002778.1)
Source: RNAcentral
GGGAAAUAUUCUCAAUUGAGAAAGUUCUGCAUUUCAGAACAAUUACAUCUGUGUUUGCCAGGAUUUCAUUAGCCAAAAGCUGUAGUACGUACUGAAUAAUGUGCACAGAGUGAAAUAGUAAAUCACUGCAUACACAAUGAUAGGGCUGUUGUGUGAGUCAGUACAUGGCAACACAUGUCAGUCCUCGUCAGCGAACAGCGUGCCUUGGUUCUGUGGACUGUCCGAUUUCAGCUACCUCACCUUUUUCUCAAACACCUUCUUUCUGGAGCGGUGUUUGUCCUGAGUUGUGUGGAAGUAACAUCCAAGUUCCUCUGUGCCCAUGUUCUCAUUGCAAGAUAUUCUACUGGGUUCUUGACUCCUGCAUCUUUGGAAAGGUAUUGUCUUUCCAAUCAUGGUGUCUCCUGUUAGUGAUUGCUGCUGGAACAGCUGCACUCCAACCUCUGCAAUGAAGAUUUUAUUUUUUGUGCGUGCUCCUGACUUGUCUGCCUGUAAUUAAAAUUGAGCAAGCAGAACAUCAGUGAGUAUGGGAACUGCUGAAUCACGGCCUGAACCUCUGGUUGACCACCUGAGAUGAGCACCGAAUCAGCCGUGGGAGCACAGGUGAAGGCAAUUCAGCUGUGUGACCGGAAGGGGUGGAGCCAGGCUGCACCUCUCCUACACCCCAUUUAAGGGCUGACUGCCACUGAGGAAGGGUCUCUCUCUGGAGAUUGCUCUUCAUGGAGUUUUUGUGAGCCUCCAACAUUGCUAUGGGUUCUGAUCUGAAGAGUAUGGCCCCAGCAGCAGGAAUUUGCAAGACCAGUCUCCUUUGGGUUGCAAGACAACUUUGAGGAAGUGGAGUGUGAGAAAGGUGAAGACCUAAAGAGAAGGAACUGAAGCCAAGAACAGUAAAAGUACACCACUGUGGAUUCCUACAGGGAUAAGACCUGUAUUGUUGUAUGUGUGUUAGUAGCUAUUAACUGCUAUAAGCACUGUUACUACUCACUAUAUAUAGCUUCACUGUUUGGCUAAGGAAGGAGACAUUUCCCCUGCCGCAGUACAUCCUUUUUUCAAAUCACAUUUUUUCAUAGGAUCCUUUUGAUUUUGCUGUAGCUUUUGAUGAGGUUGAAAAACAUCACCUGACUGCUUGUUUCAUCAAAAUUGGGCAGCAUUAAAAUUCUGUGAAUCUGCUGAGAUCUGAGGUGGACUACGUGCUCCUAAGACUCACAGUCCAUGACAGGCUUCAUCUCAUCAAAAUGAAUGGUGUCUCUUUAUGGCCUGGCACGUACCGGCAGAAGGUUCUAAGUUACACCAAUGGGACAUUUAAACCUGCCCUAAAAUGCGUUUCAGGUAGGAACAGAAUGACUGUGGAGCAGCCUGCAAUGCCCAUUUGUCGAUUUCCUUGCACUGCACAUGAUCAAUCUGCAUUGCCAUGGGUAAUUUUUGCUGCAAAAGGUGCCUUGUACCAGCUUGUUGAAGCACCAUGGGAAGACACACAGACCACUUGUUUACUCUCUCCAUUUCUAGGAGGUUGGAAGAACCAAACCAUGCUAGAAACAGAACCGCUGCAAGCCAGGCAGCUGAACAGUCAGAGCUUAUGGGGGAAUCCUAGGAGGACUAUUGGAUUGAGAUUUGAGGGCUCAUCAGAGCAGAACGUUGGAUGCAGAGUUCAAAGUGCCCUUGUGUGGGUCCAUUCAGAAGCCACUCAGCAGACCACAGGCGCAUACCUUGUGAGUACUUGGUCUCCUGGAGGUCACACUGCCCCUGGAUGUUUGCUACUAGCUGCUGUGCAGCAGCACUGCCAGAUGUGGGGGAUACAAUCUGUUCCUGGCCUUUUGCUGCAGACAGAUGCAAAACCAGGACUGCUCCUACUUUGGCUCUGACUCCUGGUCGUCUCAUGUGUGACCUCAAAGCUACUGCACACCAUUGUGUACCUGCAGACUUACUGGAGCAAAGCCUCCAAAUGGCAAAUGGAAAAGCCAUCUGGACUUGUCCGUGGCCCUGCUAACUCUCAUGGUGCUGCCUUGGCUGUAGUCAACCACCUCUAGCAGGAGGAAAUGUCAUCCUUAACAAAACCAGAGAAGCUUAUCAAGUCACUGAGCAAACCUACAGUGUCCCUUGUACAGGCAGAGAUUCUUCUGAAGCCCCAUCAGAAUUUCUGGUCCAGUCAUCUGCCUCAUUCUCUCUGUUCAACAUCUGUGGUGCUUUUGUUCAGCAGGAAAAAGCAAAGAUGUUUAAAAGAAAACAAAAAACAGAGCACAAUGCAAACAAACCAAAUUAAAGAAAACGUUUUAAAGCAUUUCCUUGCUCACAAGAUGUGAGAUGGUCAUGUGUUUAAAACUGCAAUAUUAUUUCUGGCGACCGGUCUUGUGAUAUCCUUUUGUUGAUUUUUUCCAACCUCUCAAGAAACUGGAAUGAAAAUAUUUUACUGAUGUUACCAUCCCUGGGAACGGUUUGUCAACGCUGACCCAGGUUAAUGCUGCAAACUCAAAAUAUUUGGCAUGUGCUUUUGUAUUUUUCCUUCAUCAAAGAGAUUAUAUGGGGUGAAGGUCUGUUCACAUGAAAGCAGUGAGAGAUACUGGCAGUGUACUUAGCAAAACAAGAGGGGCCCUUUUAUAAAUGUGUGUGCAUAUAUGCAAAUAUGCUUUUGCAGAUGAUAAUAUAAUCAUGAAAAAGUCAUUACUGUCGCAUUAAGGUAGCUGGCUAACGGGAAAGCUGUGUGGAUGUUGUGGGGAUGGAUAUACUGUAGAAACAAGGACAUAUCCAUCACAGUUCUGUGGCAGUUCUGUGACCAGGGGAAUCAAUGGAGCCUGAUUUUCUAUGGCUUUGUGCCCUGAUGUUAUGACCCUAUCGAGAUUUUUCCAAUGUCUCAUAGGAGAUGCUGCACUUUUUACCUCAGAGAGGCACUAAGCACGGCUCUUAGCUGACUGCCUACUUUCAGAAUACUUUUAAGGAUGUAAGAGGGUUGGGUUUUUUUGGAUUUUUAUACCUUUGCCAAAUGUGCUUGCUAUAGGCCUAAACAUUUGAAGAUUCAUAGAGAGGUCUCAGAUGUACAAAGAGACGGCACGGAGUCCUAAAGCCAAUUUCUGUGAAAUCAAUUUAAGUGUCCUCACACUUUAGCUAUGGAAAAGAAAAACAAACGUGAAUUAAAACAGAAAACAUGAUUUUAAACGUAAAUACGGAAUGUGAUGGCUAAGGAAGAAAAGAUAAACAUGCAGAUUAAAAAUCAGUCACUCAGGGGAGGCCUUCCGCUAACUUGCAAUGAGAAUUUCGCACCUAAUUGCAAUCUGUGUCUUUCAAAAUCACACAACCUCUGCUGUAAAAGUACAUGAAACUUCUCACAGACGACAUUAUGUUAAAAAACUCCUCCAUUUGCUCUGGUGCCUGGGAAUAAACAAACCUGACUUCUGGUUGCAGCUUGC